UUCACGCAAACCUUUACCUUUCUCAAACGGUGCCAUUUUGUUUGUUUCAUAAAAAACAAAAGGAAAAAAAAAAUACUAACAAAAGAGAGAAGACAGAAGCACUCUAAUUCACUCCUCUCCCUUCGGCCGAUCCCCAUAGCCCCCUUAUUUGAAUGUUCUUGCUUCGUUUUGAUCAGUGACUUAAGAUGCACAGAGGAGCCAUGGAGGGUUAAACCUCGAAGACUAUUUGCUUCAUUUUCAAAAUCCUGUCCCUGCUUCGAUUGUGACGAAGAAGACGGUUAUUGACUACUAAGGUAUGGAGCCAGCUGGCUGAUGGCGCACGUAGGACUGGCCAGAGGCAGCAGCGGUGCUGGAAGCUGCUGGAAACCUGUUCGGCACAAAGGAACCUUAGGGUUUCUGCUGAAAAUUUGAUUUAGUUUUGGGCCAUGGGGUGCUGGGCUAUUUGGGUUAAUUGGAUUAAUAAAUGUAAAUGGACUUGAUUUUUAAAUUAUUUUGGUUUUAUUA
Long non-coding RNA from Gossypium arboreum, 504 nucleotides. RefSeq lists it as uncharacterized. Lineage: Eukaryota; Viridiplantae; Streptophyta; Magnoliopsida; Malvales; Malvaceae. The record is from RefSeq and is a predicted model, not a curated record. The transcript has 2 exons.